Quercus robur (English oak) is the source of this 1189-nucleotide long non-coding RNA. RefSeq lists it as uncharacterized. Lineage: Eukaryota; Viridiplantae; Streptophyta; Magnoliopsida; Fagales; Fagaceae. The record is from RefSeq and is a predicted model, not a curated record. The transcript is spliced from 3 exons.
AUUGUGUUUAUCAUGGUCUUUGGUUUAGACAUGGUUUGAUAUUCAUGGUUUCAAUUUUAAGAAUGUGUGAAUUUCUUUCAUCAGAUUCGUGAAACUUAAGUCACUGUGCAAGCAUUUUUAAGUUGUGCUAUGAUUGUGUGCAUACUUCUAAAGAUUGUAAAAUCAAUUAAUAUAUUUAGGUGUAUUUUAUUUUUAUUUUAAGUAUAGGGAUUUUGGAGUAUUCAUGCUUCUGAGGCUAUAGAUCUUUAGAGGGUCGACCAUGUAUUCUUUUCUGCCAUUCUAAAUUGUUUGUCUUAAUUUUUAUUUUCUACUUAUGAAUUGAUGCCAUGUGUUAUAGUGAUGCAAGGGCGCAAGUUGAUGAUGAAGAUACAGCAAUGAUGAACAUUAUCAGGUUUGAUGAUUGGGUCACCAUUAAAAUCUUAAACUAGACAAUGAUGGAAUCACCUAUGCUGAUAUGACAAAUUAGCUUUGGCGUCAUUGGCUCCAUCUGACGAAUCAGUACCUAGCAGCUCUAGAAAGAAGAAGUCCAAGUGAUCACUGCCAUGUUCAUGCAAUACAAAAAGCACCAUUGUUUCUGCCAGAAAGGGAGAGAAAUGCUAAGAAACAAAGUCUGCAACAACAUUGAAACAGAUGAAAAAUUUUCCUAUUCUCAGGCAAAUCAUGGUCCUCACGGAAGCUUCAAAGUCUAAGAAAGGCAAAUGGAUUGGUGUUUCAUUUUAGUGUAAGAAUUUGAAAAAGUUCCAAUAUGUUCAUGGGCUGUCAAAGUUGAAAAGUGCAUAGGAAGACUACUGUUAUAUUGUUAUCUUUGAGGGUUCUCCCUAUCACAGUCAUGAGAGAAUUUGUAGAACAAGCUUCUUUAUUUUUUAUUCUAUAUAUAUAUAUAUAUAUAUAUUUUUUUUUUUUUGGACUUUAGGUUUCAUGUAAGGUAUUUAUUUUUUCUGAUAGAUGUUUGUUGUACUCUGCUUGGCAUAUUUUUAAAUUGGUACAAACUGUUGAAACAUAAACUAUUAGGACGUAUAAUACUUUUCAAAGUUGCUGUGUCAGGGCCUUAGGCCUUCACUUGGUAUCAAUUUGGUGGGCAGCAAGUGUUUGUUGAAAGUUGAGUAUUGGCACUUGGCAGCUAAAGUGGUUUGUAAUGUUGUAAGUGGAACCUAAGUUUAAUCAAGCACCAUGGUCUUCUCUUUUGGUU